UUCGGGCUGAAAGGUGAAAUAAUUGCCAGAAUAAUUCCAGGACGCUGAUCCUUUGUAAAAAUGCGCAACGAACACGACGCCGUCGAUCAAAUUGAUCUGGCAUCAAAUCCCAACGAUUUGGAUUCCUGGGACCAAAAUACGAAGAAAUAUCAUGGAAAACUUCUUCAAAAAAAUUCGGAAUCAUCAUCUCACAUUUUGAGAAAACACCAAGGCUAUAGGCUUACCGUUUUUUCGGGCUGAAAGGUGAAAUAAUUGCCAGAAUAAUUCCAGGACGCUGAUUCUACGCAAAAAUGCGCAACGAACACAACGCCGUCGAUCAAA
Molecule: unclassified non-coding RNA, 321 nt
Filed under: Athalia rosae (coleseed sawfly)
Lineage: Eukaryota; Metazoa; Arthropoda; Insecta; Hymenoptera; Athaliidae
Description: misc RNA ENSAEAG00005011097.1
Source: RNAcentral